This 355-nucleotide ribosomal RNA is filed under the name Eukaryota sp. Its description in RNAcentral is "SSU rRNA". It matches the Rfam family "Eukaryotic small subunit ribosomal RNA", at positions 1324 to 1700 of the family's 1831-position model. The record is from RNAcentral.
GACGAUAACGAACGAGACCUAUACCUACUAAAUAGUUUUACUAAUAUUUUAUUAGUAUAAACUUCUUAGAGGGACAAACUGCUCAAGCAGUGGGAAGUUAUAGGCAAUAACAGGUCUGUGAUGCCCUUUAGAUGUUCUGGGCCGCACGCGCGCUACACUGAUCAAGUCAACGAGUUUACAACCUUGGCCGGAAGGUCUGGGUAAUCUUUUGAAACUUGAUCGUGCUGGGGAUAGUCCAUUGCAAUUAUUGGACUUCAACGAGGAAUUCCUAGUAAGCGUGAGUCAUCAGCUCGCGUUGAUUACGUCCCUGCCCUUUGUACACACCGCCCGUCGCUAAUACCGAUUGAAUGGAUAU